This is a long non-coding RNA of Oreochromis niloticus (Nile tilapia), 521 nucleotides long. RefSeq lists it as uncharacterized. The transcript is spliced from 3 exons. The record is from RefSeq and is a predicted model, not a curated record. Lineage: Eukaryota; Metazoa; Chordata; Actinopteri; Cichliformes; Cichlidae.
AUUCACAUGAGAGGAAACUGGUUAGGAUGUUUCGGGAAUAACCCAGGAACAAGGCUCAAGGCUCCAUAAAAACAUAGAAACUGCUGGAAGAGCAGCGUCAGUAUCCAAAGUGAAGCAAGUUUUACAUUACCACAGACUGAGAGGAUGCCAACUAAGAAAGGAAGUACUCCAGAGGGAAGAUGUCUUUUUUGAAUCAUCGGGCGAAAGGUUUUGCCGUCUCUGUUGAGGUCACCCUUGGACAACUUCUCAGUAGUUACUUUGAGAAAAAGAUAAAGAGCAAAAGGAAGAGAUGGAGAUGUUAUUUGGUCGGAUGGUGAAAAACACAGGCCUCGCUGAGAGUGCAAGCAUCCAAAAAUCGAAAGCUUUCACACAUUAGAAAUUGACUAAAAAAGGUCUGAGGAUUUUCCCACAGUUCACUGUGCCGUGGGGAAAAUACGACACGCAUAUGUAUUAUUGUUGUUUUUACUCUUGAUUAGCAACAGAUUAAAACACAACUCUUCACAAAUAAUACAGAUAACUCA